This 321-nucleotide ribosomal RNA is filed under the name uncultured eukaryote. Its description in RNAcentral is "partial 18S ribosomal RNA". It matches the Rfam family "Eukaryotic small subunit ribosomal RNA", at positions 1470 to 1796 of the family's 1831-position model. The record is from RNAcentral.
CCCUUAGAUGUUCUGGGCUGCACGCGCGCUACACUGACAUGUCCAGCGAGCUCCCAACCUGCUCGGCAAAGAAUGGGUACCCUUUUUAACGCAUGUCGUGAUGGGGAUAGAUUAUUGCAAUUGUUGAUCUUGAACGAGGAAUUCCUAGUAAGUGCAAGUCAUUAGCUUGUGCUGAAUACGUCCCUGCCCUUUGUACACACCGCCCGUCGCUCCUACCGAUUGAGUGCUCCGGUGAACAAUUUGGACUGCUUUGAUUCAAUUAGAAUUUGAAGCGGAAAGUUUAGUGAACCUUAUCACUUAGAGGAAGGAGAAGUCGUAACA